RNAcentral lists this long non-coding RNA (25157 nucleotides) under Vitis vinifera (wine grape). Its description in RNAcentral is "long non-coding RNA (VVIN_LNC004742)". Lineage: Eukaryota; Viridiplantae; Streptophyta; Magnoliopsida; Vitales; Vitaceae. The record is from RNAcentral.
GAAGAAAACAUCUAUUGGCCAAAGAUCAACCUCUUUGUUGUAAUUAAUCAAGAGUCAAAGCUUUUUCCUAGGUCAUCUCGCAAGCAAAGAAACUCACUUUAAGUGGAGUCCAAGCAUUCCACAUAAUAACAGAUGGGAACGAUUCAAAUCUCCCUUCUUCUAGGCUAGAUUAAAGUGACCCUAACAAAGAAAGAUUUACUCUUUGCCUCUAACCAACACACCUUGUCUUUUACUGCCUCAACUACCCCCUUAACAAGUAGUUUUGCAAAGAAAGCUCUGCAUCCUCAAUCUCCCAAUUGUUUGGAUGCCUAGAGAAUCUACGAGUCCACCCACCUCCACCAUUAGAGUGAGAUCACAAGUCCGCCACCCAAGCCUCCUCAUGGUUCAAAGUAUUGGCCGACUUGUAUCUGCCUUGAACCUUUCUAUGUUGAGUCUGAUACCCGAUAUCAUCUUCAAUACAAACCCAACUAAGAACCGGUUAAACUCGGUUGACUCGGUCGAGAUUUUGAGCGGACUUGAUUGAAAUUACGAGUUGAAGGAGAAGAAGCAAUCAAAAAAUAUAUUUUUUUUUCCCUUUCAAAUCACACAAAAAGCAACCAAAAUUGAGAAAUCUCUAAAAAAAAAAAAUAUGAGAGUUCUCUUCAAAAGAAAAAAACUUUCAAGACCAUGACGGUGAAGGAGAAGAGAAGAAGAAAGCUUCAUGUCGGUGAUGUAGUUGUGCUGAUUGUCUGAUGAGAAACAUCACAUUCUUCCAUCGAUGACGAUCUUUGCAUUUUGGUGUUGCCUCUCCUUGCUCGAUCUCCGUUGUGUUUGCGGUGUUGUUUGGGUGUGCAUUGUAGAGAGGCAAAACUGCAAAUUGGGUAUCUUGUGGUGUGAAUAAGUGAUGUUUGGGAUUGGGAAUUGAAGAAAAGGGCUUAAUGUAUUGUUUUAUAUAAAAAUGAUUUAUUAUUUCGGAUGUUCAUAUAUUUGCAUCAAUUUACUUUAUAUGCCAAUGAUAUUUGGAAUUGAUUUGAAAAUUAUUAUUUUAUAUAUUAAAUAUGGUAUGAAUGACUUUAAUUUAGGUAAUGUACUAUUUUACAUGGUAAUGUUAUUAUAUAAGGUGUAUUAUUUUAUAUGCUAAUUUAUUGUUAAUAAUUUAUGAAAUCAUUUCGUUUAUUAUUAUGUUAAUAUAUUUUUAAGUUGAUUAAUUUCUUAAUUCAUUUAAUUAUAUUAAAAUAAUUUUUAUAAUUUUUUGAACUUCUUAAGUAUCUUAUUUUGCUUAUCAUCCGAUAUCGAACCGAGAUGCCGAUACCAAUGUGCCUUGGAACCCUCCAAGUUGAUGACCAAUACCGUGAUUUUGAAAUAUGAGUCUCCUUGGAAGUAGCUAAGGCAAAUAAAGAAGGAAAAAAAAUACUUAAGAUUCAUUGCCAUGCCAUUUAUCCUUCCAAAACUUUACUCUUCUCCCAUUGCCCACCGAGAAGGAAAUCCUGCAAUUAACUUGUCUCCCACAAAUUUCUUAUAACCUUCCAUAACCCAACACCAUAACCCUCGUUUACUUCCUUCGAACACCAACCCCUUCAACUUCCCCAUGCUUACCACUUAUAAUUUGUCAAAUGCCUAUUUCUUGAGGUUUCCUUAGUGCAGUGCUGCUGAAAUUGCACGUUCUGUUGAGGCUUACAUGGGUGCAUGCUCAUGCUUCAAGCUUGCCAGACACCAAAUGUGCAUACACGUACAUAAACAGAUGCACGCAUCAUAGAGUGGGAGAGAAAGAAGAAAUAGAAGGGGGUGGGAUGGGGAAAAGGCUGGGGCUUACAUUUUGAACCUUGUGAUGCAUGUGCACACACUGAGAAGCAGUACAAUGCUUAGAAAUUGGAAUGAGUAUUGAUCUAGAAAAAUAUUUAUUUUGCAAGAUCACAUUGAUGUGGUGCAGCACAAUAUUAUGAUAUAGUCAUUUUUGUGUCAUCUAUCUUUUAGCUCAUGCUGGACUGCAAAAUCAUUCAUCAUGCUCUCUGGUUCAUGAAUAGGUCUUCUAACUGGAACUGUUUCAAUCCAUGGUUUAAGAUUUCAAACCCAUCACCAUUUAGUAGGUUUAUAUUUUAGUUGAAUUGGAAAUAGAACUUCAUACCAGAUUGGAAUCUGAUGAUACUUCAUAGAAGAUAAUGUAAUUGUUUAUAAAAAUUAUAAUUUUUGAAAAGAUUUUGGAUAAUGCUUCUUAAGUAUUGAAAAUUUCGAAAGGCCUAAGAAAAUAGUGAAUGUUUUGACUUCACGUGCCGUGCAUCAGAAGCAACUACCUUAUGGUUUUUUACGAAUCUUAGAAAAAAAUGAGUAUGCACACAUGUAUAGAUGAUAUACAUGCUCUUUAUCUAUGUCCCAAAAUCUCUUUAUUAUUAUUUUUCAGAGAAACUCUUUAUUUUCCCAUUCUCAUUUGCCAGUUUUGCUCCUGUUUGUGUUUGUGUCUAUUGUUUUCUUUUUUCUUUUAACCUAAUGGAACACAAAUAACUAUAAUAAUAAUAAUGAUGAUGAUGAUGAUGGUAAUAGUAAUAUCACUCCUAGAAUCAUUCGUACCCCUAUAAAUUCUAAAUUUCUUUGGAAAAUCUGAUUUUUUCAGAUACUUGAAUUCCAUAUUGUUUGUUGCUUUAUCCACUUGGGUGAGUAAAGAAAAUUUUACGGUGCAAAGGUUGUGGGUUCAGGCUGUAUGGCAUGUCAAGAGUGAGGCAUGCUAACACACAGAAAAUUCACUGUUGUUUCCAACAUCUGGCUAUGUAACACAUAACUUUUAUCAUACUUAUCUUCCUACCUUCAUUCUUAUUUCAUGCAGCAGAUUGCAUUAACAUAAUUAUCAUUUGAAACUAUAAAUUAUUUUAGCAUAUAGAAUCAUAUGAUCAUGCAUUGCUUCCUUGAAAUCUUUAAUUUUGCUAUCAAAAUAAAUAAAUAAAAAAGAACAGAAAAGAAAAAUCUUUCUACAUUGCGCUUUUGUUUGGUCAGUGAGGAUGAUGCUUGGCCACAUGCUUCGUAACCAAAACAUACCUGGUCUAAGUGCAUAACUAGGAUUGUUGGAUGACUUUGGAUUUGGAUGCACGGAUAUCUCUUAGUCCAAUAAAUAAGAUGUAUCAUGGAACAUUAAUAAUCAGGAAUUUAUACUGGGUUCUCAUUAGGUAGAAUAUUUCACCAGUGAACUCUUUUAUUGUCUAGAAGAAUCCUAUACUUGGAGGCCUUGUAUACCACCCAUAAACUAUCGUUGUGCCUCCUACUUUUCUUAGGUGCCUUUAAUGAAUUUCUUUCUUGUUUGCCUAUCAAAAGAGAGAAAAAAAAAAGAUUGCUGUACUUGGGAUGAACUUUGACAUGUUUAGUUGCUUAGGGAUAUAAUCAUUUCUAUUAUGUACCAUUUGCACAUAAUAUAACAUUCAUCCAUCCCUUUUUCUUUGGAACAGCCAUCAGAAUGUAAUACAUAUGCAGACAUUGAUGCAGUAUAUAAAUGCCUUAAGGAGCAGUACGGGGUUAAAGAUGAGCAAUUAAUAUUAUAUGGUCAGUCUGUUGGUAGUGGUCCUACAAUUGAUCUUGCUUCACGUGUAUCAAACUUGAGAGGUGUGGUCUUACAUAGCCCAAUUUUGUCUGGGUUGAGGGUCUUGUACCCUGUCAAACGGACAUACUGGUUUGAUAUUUACAAGGUAUUUCCAUCAUACUAUCGUGGCUAGAUUAGUCAGAUAGUGGAGUCAUAUUUUUAUUUUUAUUUUUAAUUCUUUUCUCUUUACUUUUGUUUUUAUUUUUUAUGGGUGAUUGGGGCUCACUUCUUUGCUUUGUUCUUUUCAGAAUAUUGACAAAAUUGGUAUGGUGAGAUGUCCUGUUCUUGUAAUUCAUGUAAGUAUUGCUUGUUGUUUUCAUUCAAUCUCUCCUUUUUGGUUUCAUUUCAAAUUUGUUUUUUGUAUUCCCCUCAUUCUUAUUCUAUGACUAUAUGCAUUGUCAGAUAUGGGAUUACUGUUACUUGGCAUGGAAAUUCUUUCUUAACUUGAGAUAUCAUUGAUAGCAGCUUUGCUACUAUAAAUUGGGAAAGAAAUUAUAUUUGUUGAGAUAAUCAUAUUUGAACUUUCAUCUAUCAAAAAGAAAAGGAAAAAACAAAAAGAAGGCUUUCAGUUUUCAUGUGUUUCCUAUAUCAAUAACUUCAAAGACAAGCCCCUUUGCUUCAGAAGGAUAAAAAAUGAAAAAAGUUGGUCACUUGUAACAGGUUAAGAUGCACUCUAUUGUAUUAUUCCAAAAUUUAUGUGACCGUAUGUUUUGCUUUCCAUAGUGGUGGAUCACAGCAGAAAGUAGUUAAACUCCAAUUCAGAGAGUUUUCUUUGAAGCAAAUUCAGUGAUAAAGCUAGUAUUUUAUCUUCAGGGGACGGCUGAUGAAGUUGUUGAUUGUUCCCAUGGGAAGCAGCUUUGGGAGCUUUGCCAGGAAAAGUAUGAACCAUUAUGGUUAAGUGGAGGUGGACAUUGCAAUCUUGAGCUUUAUCCAGAAUUCAUUAAACAUCUGAAAAAAUUUGUGCUGACUAUUGGCAAAUCGAAGGCGGCCACAAAUGGUUCUAAAAAAACAGCAGUAGACUCUGACAGUCAGAGCAAGACAUCUGAAAGUGGAACUUCAGAUGCGUUUGAAUUGAGCACUGACCUUCCAGAAGCAUCUAGAAACAGUUUAGAUAGUCGACUUGAGAAGUCAAAGAAGACGAACAAGCCUGAAAAAUCUCGGAUGAGCACUGACCAUGUUGACAGGUUUAGGAGAAGAAAAGGCUUAGUCUGGUGACUCCUACACGAAGAGUGUUCUAAAUAAGUUUUUGUGCUAAUAACCACUUGAGAAGGUAUUUAUUCUUUGCUUGUGCUCCUGUAUGAUGCAUCAACUCUAAACAACAAGUGUUGUCAAAUUGAGUGUGACUCUUCAUAUGAAAUGUUCCAAGUCAUGUGUAUUGCUCAGAGGAUAAAUUGAUAAUGGGAAGGAGCUUGCAUCUGUAUUUCUUCUGUAAAAUUAAUAGUUUUGAACAUGGAAUAUCUUGCAGUUCCAUCAAUCAUGUUACUUCAAAUUUGUUGGUUCAAUCCUUCGAUGUUUCUUGCAUUCUGUGAUGGAAAACAUCAGACAAAUCCAUGAGAUCUUUACAUCAAUGGCCUCUAUUGGUUGUGAAGUCCUUCUCCGGUUCUGUAAAAUCCUACUUUUUCUUUAAUUUUAGCUAGUGAAGUAGAUAUAAUCAUUUUUAAUCACUUUAGAAGAUAUUAUCCAUAUUACCCAGGCACUUAAAUCUGAUUUGGUUAAUUGUCACUCAAGCUGUAUUCAGGCGAUAAGAUUUUCACCUUGCUUCCAGUCAUUGGUUGUUUUUGUCUGUUUCUAGUUCAUCUUUUUAACUUUAUUUAUUCAAAGUCCUCCAAUUUUAGUUUUAUUAUGAUUUAUUUUACUAUGGGUGCAUUAAAAAAUGUGCUAUUUGUUUAGAUGUAUUUUUAUUUUUCAAAACAAAAAUAGUGAAUAAGUUAUUUUUUAAUUAUAUAGAUAUUUUUAUUUUUAAUCUUAAAAAAUGUAAAGAAUAAUGUUGUAAAUUUUUUUAAAAAUAAUCCAAUUAUUUUUAAAUUGAGUUACAAAAUAUGUUUUUAAAAUAAAGAAUAUUCAUUCGUAGAACCCCAAGUUCACUUGGGGAUGUUAAAGAGCAUCAAAGCAAGUAUAUUUGAUUGGAAAACUGGUCUGGUUAACCAGGACUAGGGAUGGCAAUAUGGCGGGUUUGGGAUAGGUUGUUCUCAUUCCUUUCACAUCCAAUUUAUUGAAAAUAAUUCCCAUCCCCGUCUCAUUUAAAAAAUAAAACGGGGUGGGAUGGGUAUGAUAAAUUCUCAUACUCGUCCCGUCUUGUUCUGUUUAACUUUUUUUGAAUUUUAAUUUUUUUUAAAAAAUUAUUUUUAAAAUUUUUAGUUAUAUUAAAAUAAAUAUAUUUUAUAAAUAAUUAAAUUAUUAUAUUUUUUAUAAUUUAUUUUAUUAAAAAUAUUUUAUUAUUAUCUAUAUAUUAAAAAUAGUAAAAUAAAAAUUAAAUUAAAUUAAUUUUAAAAAUUAAUUUUAUAUAUAAUGAAGGCAGGAUGGGGUAGGAUAAGACAAUACCCAAACCAGCCCCGAGUUUUAAAAAAAUUUUCAAACCCAUUUAUUAAAAUUGAAUCCCCUCCCAUUCCCAUUGUCAUCCUUACUCGGACGGCACUAGCCUGCUGUUGUGGACGGCACUAGCCUGCUGUUGUGGAAGAAGAUGCCGUUUAGGUUUUGCUAAACCUCACGUACACGAAUGCACACGAAUUUUCCUCAUAAUCUUAUUUUAUCCUCCCAGUCUUGCCUUCUAGCAACGACCCGAGUCGUUGAAAGCGGAAUGGAAGAAGUUUGGUAAAUGUCAGUGUCCACCCAAAAUCAAAACAAAAUUGUGUAUUUUUUUUACCUAGUCAGCUAGUUUGACCAUGAUCGGCAUUGAAUGGAAUAGAUAAGGUUUAUCUCCUUCCUCUUUUGAACCACCCCAAAUUUACAUCUGUCUCUCCGAAAAUGCCUCCCAAUUUCUUCCCAGCUUAUUCUGUUUUCUUGAUGAUCAUGCUGAUCCCUGUUCCGAGGGUUGUGUGCGAGGACAAUCAACAAUUCGUCAGCUGCGGCGCACAGUAUGAGUGCGGGAAUAUGGUUAUUAGUUAUCCUUUCUGGGGAGGGAGUCGCCCUCCUUACUGUGGCCAUCCAGGGUUCGAGCUGACUUGUGAUGGUGAAGCCCCGGAGUUUACAAUGAAGGAGGCGAGUUACCGAAUCCUGGAUAUCAAUAACUCAUUCCAUACUCUCACCGUUGCUAGGGCGGAUUACUGGGAUAGUUACUGCCCUCCUACAUAUGUUAACACCACUCUGAAUGAAUCCAUUUUUAGUUAUAAUGCCACCUAUACAGACGUGACCCUCUACUAUGAUUGUCCCCAACUUACUAUCGCGCCUUCCAACCAGUUCAAUUGCACCAAUAUCACUGGUUACUAUACAACACUGGAUCUUAACCUUAGCGUAAGCCCCGGGAGUUGCGGUGUGUAUGUGACGGUUCCCAUUUUUCAGUCAGCAGCUACCGCUAUAGUGAGCGGUGGAGGUACACUGACUCUUCUUACAGAAGCUCUUAAGGGUGGUUUCGGGUUGGAGUGGAAUGCCAGUAAUAGUUUGUGUACAGAAUGUGUUGAAUCCGGUGGGCAGUGCGGCUAUACCUCCAACCAAUUCACAUGCUAUUGUCGGAAUGGGUAUCCUCUCUCCAGUUGCCAAACCACAAGAUCAGGUAUGUAUAGAAACAACUUCAUCAGAUAUAUAGCUUUCGUCUCACAAACAUGCAUGCUACCGUUCAUUCACCGAUCUCUUAAUCUGUGUUUGGUUUCCAAAAAUUUUAGGCAAAAUACAAGGAGAAAAGACUAGAAGGGAAGAAAAAUAAAACAUAAUAGAUUUUAAAUUAAUAAAUUAAUUUGUUACUUCAAAACCUUUAUACUUAUUUAACUCAUAUAUAAAGAUAAAUUAAAUAAUUUAAAUUUUAAUUAUAUUUGAUUUUUUAUUUUAUAGUAAUAUCAAACAUGGUAAAAUGAUUUUCCUUACACGUUGGGUUUUAUUAUAAAAGAAAAUAAAAUAUAAUUAAUAUUAAUUAAAAACUUAUAUAAUUUUAAAUUAUUUGUUAUUUAUAUAAAAAAAUUAAAAUAAGUUAAAUAAGUUUGAAAUAGUGUACAAAAUCAUUGAGUUUAAAUUUAUUUUUAAAUUUUUUUUCUUUUUACUUUCUCUUUAGUCCCUCAUUCCCUCGAAUUUUCAAGAGCCAAACUAUUUUUUUUUAUUUUUUUUUUCUUUUUACUUUUUCUCUUUAUUCCCCAUUCCCUCAAAAUUUUCAAGAUCCACACAUUAGCAAGAAAUUUGCAUAGUUAAAUAGAUUAGAAGUUAAGUCUUUAUCACUUUCCUCCUUAUAAUUGUGUUAUUUGUAGGCACCUUAGAUGCAGGUUGAUUUUGUUUUGAUAGGGAUGAUAGUUUUGUUAGUUUCUCGGGUGUCCCACCCCACCCCACCUCUAGUAGGAUGGGUAUGAGAAAGCGAUAAUCAGGGAUGAGAUGAAUUUGACAAGAAUUUCGAAACCUAAAUCAAGUUUAGAGCAAGUAUGGGUUUUAUACUAUUCUACCUCACCUUGCCCCCAAAUAUGAAUUUACAGAAUUACCCUUCAUAUAUUAGAAAAUUCCCAAAAUAUCGAUCAUAUAAAUAUUGUAUCUUUAGAAAUUUGCCCCUCUCCCCACAUAGCUCCUCUCCUAUUUUUUGCUUGGAUCUAUCAUUUUUUUGCCCUAAUCUUAGGUCACAUGGGAGAAUGUGAAAGGCCUAUAGGACUAGCAGAGGAGGCAUCUAUAAAAGUUCCCUUAGAAAAGCAUCCUAUUGAAGCACCCCAAUAGUGAGUUGUUGCUUGUGGUAGCGAGAUCGAUGGUAUUUUAGCUAUUGUACAAUGAAGAUGUUGACAUCAAUGGGAAUUACCACUUCAGAGCAUCUAAGAAGGUGAUGAGUUGCAAGAUCGAUUUGUGGGAGCCUCAAUGGUAGAUGAUGGAGGAUCUUUGGGAUUUGUAAGCAAUGUAGAGAGAAAAUGUGUUGAUGAUGUGAUUAAGAAUAUGUCCUCUUUUAAGUUUGGUUGGGUAAUGCUUGUGAUUAAUUUAGGAGAUGUAAAGUUGUUGGUGAAGGAGGAUUGGAGGGUUUGGAUCCUGCCAUUAGCAAGGUUAUAGAAUAGUAGAUCUUGGAAAGUAAAGGCAAUUUUCUUGCUUUUCCAUUGAUUUGGUUGGUUUCCGCGAGACCAAAGGCUCAGUUUGGUUGUUGGAAGAGGACAUGAAAGGGAAAUGCUAAUUGAAAAAGGCUCUCUUUCUUUAGUAUUUCAAUGGAGAAAUAUCGAUCCGACGAUAUUUCGGGAUUUAUCGCAAGAAAUCGCCGAUUUUUUUUCCCGAUAUAUUGUAUGGUCAAUGCGGGUCAAACGAAAGUGCGCUACUGUGCCCUCCCAUUUGCUUGCUGCCGAGAGGAUUUGAACCCCAAACCAAGAGGUUUGGGGUUCACCCGCGUACCACUUGGGCUAACUUGAAUUAUAUGCAACAAAUAUAUAUAUACUUAAACUCAUUAUAUAAAAAAAAUAUAAGAAUAUUUUAAAGAGCAAAUUAUUUAUAAUUAUUUUAUAAUUAAAUGCAAAGUCUUUUAAUUAAUUACCAAAAAUAUAAAAAUUAUAUAAUUUUCUUCAUAAUGUUUUUAAUAUCAUUAAUAAUUAAUUAAAUAUUAAAAAAUUAUAUAUAUAUCAUUAUUUAUUUUAUAUUGUUUAAUACAAUUGAAUUAAAUGGAUCAUAUUUUAAUACUAAUAUAUAUUUUAAAAUUAGACAUAUUAUAAUCAAAUAUCAUAAUAUUAGGUGUAAUUUAAUAAUAAAUGUACACUUAUAAAAUUCAUAUUUUUAUCGAUGCAUAUGAUAUUAUUAAAUCGUGUUAUACAUAUAUCAAAAUUUUUAAUAAAAUAACUUUAAAAUGUCUAUUAUACUUCUAAUUAUAUUAUUAUGAGGUUUUCCUAACAUUUUUAUGAGUUUUUAAUAAUUUUAAGCUUACCGAUAUUUUUUUCCAAAAUAUCCGCCGAUAUAUCCGUAAAAUCGAAGUACCGAUAUAUCCGUGAUUACUGAUAUUUUCAUCAUUGGUUGGUACUUACAACCUUUGAACAUUUGCAUACCCAUGUGUUCUAGGACUUCCUUAAUGGAACCUUUUUGUUUAUUUAUUUUGUAGAAGCAUGCAAAUAAGAAAAAUAAGAAAAUAAAUAAUGAAGCAAUCAUAAAAGCAUAUAAGAUUUAACAAGGUUUGUUAUAUGCUUAUGUCCAUAGAGAAAGAGGAUCAAUUUGCAAUACUCAAGUGAGUAGUUACAAUUUUGAAGCACUAAAUUACCAACAAAUUGGAAUAUUAAUUAAAACAAAAUUGCUAAAAUAUAAACAAGAUUUAAUGUCUUAACAGUUAUAACUUACUAUAAGUUCUGUUUAAUGUGUAACCAUAACAUUAAUUUUCUUUGAUAGUUAUAAUCAUAACUCUUUUUUUUUUGUUUGCAUAUCAAGGUUGUCAUUUCUAUUGAAUCCAUAUGCUAUAUGCAAUACACUCCUCUCCUUUCAGUAUGAUCCUUCCCAGUUUAGUUGCAGUUUUCCUUCUACAAGAUCUCAAAUAUUUUGGAAAACUUUUUAUAGCACAAGUUCUCCUUCUUGAAAUCGCCUUUCUUGUAACUUUUGGUUAUAUGAUGAUGUUAUUCCUUGCUGAUAGUCUUCAACUUUUAAAGUAGUUGCUUUGCUCUUCAAGUAAGUCUAGAUCUAGUUCCAAGGUCAUCGGGGUUUGCUAAUCGUCAAGCAUUAGUGUACCCAAUUGGUAUUAUAGCUUCGGGCCCAUAAGCUAGUGCGAAUGGAGUCUCCCAUGUGGCUGAUCUUGUUUGGUCCUGCAGCAUGCCCAUAGGACAAUCGACAACAUGUUUCCUUUGGCUUAACCUUUUCUUAAGAUAGUUCAACAAGGUCUAAUUGGUGGCUUCUUCUUGGCUAUUGCCUUGCGGGUGUAGGGGAAUACCUUAGAGGUCGACUAUUUUAAGGUCAUUGCAAAAUUUUUUGAAUUCUUUGAAAUUAAACUAGGCGUCAUGGUUAAUUAUGAGGAUUCGAGGUUUAUUGAAUAGAAAUACUAUAUUUUGCCAUACAAAUCUCCAUACAUCCCCCUUUUUUGUUUUUGAAUAUGCCUUUGCUUCCUCCCACUUGGUGUAAUAUAGUAGGUAGCUACAAGAACAAAUCCUUUUCAUUAAACCGCAACAAGUAGGGGUCCAAUCAUGUCUAGCCCCCAUUGAGUGAAUGGUCAAGGUACACUAAAUUGAUGAAGGUCCUAAUUCAUCUUCACUUCAAUUAGAACCUUCAUUAAUUUCUUAUAGGAUGUAUAUUUCUUCAAAAGCUUAUGUUUUUUUUGAAAUAAGAAUGGCAAACAUUUAGUGCCUUUUGAAUACAAUUUUGGUUUUAUUAAUUUAAAAAAUCAAUGAAUUUUCAGUUGUAAUUUUUUUAAAAGUACUUGAAGAUAUAAAACAUGUUUACUAAUUCAUUUUUUUUUUGUUAAAAAAAAAAAACACAUUUGAUAGUUAUAUGGCAACAAGUAGAAAACAAUCAUUUUUCUAUUUUAAAAUUUGUUUACAAAAAUGGUAAUAAAAUUUUUUGAUGACUUUAUUAUUAUUAUUAUUAUUUUAAAAAUUUGUUCUAUCAAAAUUUGAAAACAAGAGGUAAAAAUGGGUCACCAAACAUGUUUCCAAAUUUUGUUUUUACAUAUUUUAAUUAAAAAAAGAUUUGAAAAAUAAAAGUGAAGCCAAAUAUACCCUUGUUGGUCAAUUUCAAUUUUACGAUGGUUUUAUGCUUAAAAUUCAGAAAACAAUAUUUCAUUGUACUUGAAAUGGUUCAAUUUUUAGGAAAUUUAAUGUAAUUUUCAAUGCUUUUAUACGAUUUUCUAUGUAAUUUUCAUUUUUUUAAAAUUUAAUUGCGAGAGUUGAAAAUACCUCAUUUUCACUAUCAAAGAGGUCCUAAAUCUUACCAUGUCUAGGUGAUGGCCUAUCUGUUCUGUUGUUAGUAACAUCCUCUAGUUUGGUUUCUUUACAAUUUUAAGUUGUAUAGAACUCAUUUUCAUUUUAAGUGUGACUAAUUUUAUGUUUGUUUUACAUGAUCAGGCUCAAAUGUGCUGAGAAAGAUUAUUAUAGGUAAUAUAUAAUUUUGAAGUUCUAAAUUUGGAAAAUUAAUAUCUCCAUACUUGUUUUUACGUUUAAGUAAUAGUAUGAAUUCUUUGAACACAGGCAUUGUUGCAGGUGUGGCUACGCUCAUAUUAGUUCUUGCAAUGCUUGGUUGCCUUAGAAUAAUAAAAUGCCCAUUGGCGUGCAAGACAUUGGUCUUCUGGAAGAAGGAAUCAGAGGAUGAUGAAAAUGUGGAAGCAUUUAUAAGGAACUAUGGAUCAUUGGCUCCAAAGAGAUACAAUUAUUCAGAUGUUAAGAAAAUGACCAACUCAUUCACAAGUAAAUUAGGUGAAGGAGGAUUUGGUUGCGUGUACAAAGGAAAGCUCCCUGAUGGUCGCAUGAUGGCAGUGAAACUUUUGAGUAAGUCAAAGGGUAAUGGACAAGACUUUAUUAAUGAAGUUGCAAGCAUCAGUAGAACUUCUCAUGUUAAUAUAGUCACUUUUAUGGGAUUUUGUUUUGAGAGGAGUAGAAGAGCUCUGAUUUAUGAAUUCAUGCCCAAUGGAUCUCUUGAUAAGUUCAUCUAUAAUAGAGGAUCCUCUAAUGAAAGCCUGAACUUGGAAUGGAAGACCAUGUACCAAAUUGCAGUCGGCAUUGCUCGAGGACUAGAAUACUUAUACCGAGGUUGCAACACAAGGAUUUUGCAUUUUGACAUAAAACCUCACAACAUUCUUCUAGACCAAAACUUCAUCCCAAAAAUUUCUGAUUUUGGCCUUGCUAAGCUAUGCCAGAAGACAGAAAGCAUGGUGUCAAUGACGCACGCACGGGGCACCACUGGAUACAUAGCUCCCGAGGUAUUCUGUAGAAACUUUGGAGGAGUCUCUCAUAAAUCCGAUGUCUACAGCUAUGGAAUGUUGGUUCUUGAAAUGGUUGGAGGGAGAAAGAAUAUUGAUGUGCAAGUUUUCCAACUUGGAUUUAUAAGCAGCUUCAGCCAGGCAAGGAUCUUACAGUACUUCGUAGUAUCACCAAUGAAGAGGAGGAAGAAACAGCGAGGAAGAUGGUUUUAGUGAGCCUGUGGUGCAUUCAGCCCAAUCCAUCUGACCGACCAUCGAUUGAUAAGGUGGUAGAGAUGUUGGAAGGAAGCUCUCAUCUCUUAGAGAUUCCCCCAAAUCCUUUUAUGUUUUCUACUCAAAACACACCACAGUCCACAGUGUCAACUUAGAAAGAGAUCGUUAACAUUAUUGUUAAAAAAAAAAAAAAAAGAAUAUGAUUUUUCCCUGCUGGAGAGAGAGGAGCAAUGCCCACCAUGAGAAACAAAUUCAAAUAUCUCAACUGAAGCCCAACUCCAAAGAUUAGGUCGUGCAUAUCUUUGUAACAACUUUACAAGACCUUCAUCUCAAAUCAUCUGUUGCAGAGAAUCCUAAAGAAGACACAAUGCUACAGCGAAAAGGUAACUGAGAUUUGCUAAUUACUUUUUCUCAUUAGUCUCUUUAUGGUAUCAAACCAUCUUUAACUCACAUGAGUAUUGUUCUUCCUAUGUUAAUUAUUCAAGUAUCCAUAUAUUGAGGAAAUCUCAAAAUUUCUUAUUGUCUAUCUAAAACUAUGUCAUCCAACUAUUUAUUGUGUCUAUCGGUAAAUGAAAGUUAAGAUUUAGUUGGUUUCAUCACAGGAGGAACUCCAUCACAUGUGAGUGAGUUAGAUAGAGAUUAUCAAGAUAUGUGGCAUUAUGGACAUGUACAGAUAGACUAGUUAAUGCCUGGAUCACUUCUCUUUCUGAAGAAGCUCUAAAAUCCAAUUUUGGCCUUGCUACUUGCUAUGCUGUGUUGAAGGCUUUCUCAAAUACCUACAAUCUGGAUUCUGAAGCAUACUACACUUAACUCUUACAUAAUUGAGUUCAAGUCCACACUUAACUCUUACAUAAUUGAGUUCAAGUCCACACGUAACUUAAUGCCAUUGGCAAACCAGUACAUGCCUGUUAAGAAUCAGGUUUUCUGGCUCCUGAAUGGACUUGGACAACAAUUUGAAUAUUUUUUCACAGCUAUGCUUAAGGUUCCUGUUCCAUCUUACAAUGCCUUUAUACUACAAUGCCAUGAAUCAUAUAUAACAAAUCUCAAAGUUUCUAAGCAUGUGAAUCAUGCACUUGCCUUUGUUGGUUGGUUAUCGUUCAAACUGCAAGAAUUGACAAAAGGUCAAGUUUCAAUCCAAUUCUAGGCCUUCCUCUAACCAUCAUACAUCAUAAUUUCCCGUUAACCCUAAAGCGUACAAUUCCUAGUUCCUCGACUCUACUCCUAUCUGCUAUAAUAUUUGCAAAUUAAAAAGAAAGGUCAUGACGCUUUGGAGGCUUGGCAUCAUUUUGACCAAAGUUUUUAGGAUUAUUAUUAUAAUUAUUAUUAUUUGGCAUGGAAGAUUAAGCCAUUCUUGGCCCAAAUUAAGUUCAAAAUUUUUCUGCCACACCAAAAAUUUGUCUCAAGUAAUAAAAAGUUGUUGGAACUAUAUAAGAGCUAUGCCUUGAGCAAAAGCUCCAAACUUCCUUUCUUUCCAUCCAAUAAUAAAGUAGGCAUUCCAAUUGCCAAGAUUCAUUGUGAUCUCUAGGGUCCAAAUCUCAUUUAUUAUGUUGAUGUGCAAGUCUAAUUACCUUAUGAGUUAACAAAAUAAGAAUAUUUUUAAAGCUCAAUUGAAGAAGUUGGUUCAUGUCACUAUCCUCUAAACAAGAAGUCAAAAGAAGAAAUUAUGGAAAUCAACAUUUUCAACAACCAUAUAUUUUCUUGGGAAACUUCAUUGAAAAACUAUACCUAUUUGACUAGUAAGAUGAACUGAAAAUAAUUUCAUGUCCUUCCUCUUUUGAAUGACCCCAAUUCUAUACCUAUCUGUCUCCCCCAAAAUGCAUUCCAAUUUCUUUCUACCAUGUUCUACUUUGUUGAUGAUCAUAAUAGUCCAUGUUCCUAGUGCUUGGUGUCAAAAUUAUGACCAAUAUAUCAACUGCGGCAAGACUGUUGUAGUGAGCUAAUAUGUCAAAUAUUGGUUAUCCUUUCUGGGGCGGGAGCAGGCCAACGUACUGCAGCCACCCAGGGCUUGAUCUAAAUUGUGAUGGCUACACCCCGGAGUUCAGAAUGAUGGGCGUGAGUUACCGGGUCCUUGAUAUCAAUAAUUCGUUCAAUACUCUCACAGUUGCUAGGGUGGAUUACUGGAACAGUACUUGUCCCAUUGAGUAUCUUAACACCACUCUGAAUCGCACCCUCUUCAAUUAUAACACAACAUAUCCAAACCUUUGUACUAUGGUUGCCCUGCAAGCAAUCUUUCCACUUCUAGCCAAUUUAUUUGAAGUUGCACAAGUGGUGGUAGGGUCGUUGGUUACUAUGUGACUAGGGACCUCAGCAAUAUGUACAACUGUUUUUUAUAUAUUCGUUUGAUUGAUUUCAUUAUUAUUAUUAUUAUUUUAAUUGUAUGAUUUCUAAUUUAAAAUUUUUAUUUUUGCAUGAGGCUUUGGUGGCUAUGCAUAUAUGCAAUGAUUUGGCAAUAUUGAUUUUUUUUUUUUAAUAAGGGAAGGUGAGGUUGCACUACAAGAAUGAAAAUGGAUCAAAACCAAAGUGUGUCCAUAGGGAGUGAAGAUAAAUGCUAUAGAUGCAGCCAUAUGCAAGAGUAUGACUAUAAAUUUUGACUGCAACUUAAUUUGGACCACAACAAAAGGUGCAUAGUCACGACUAAGGGGGCUGCUACUAUAAGGUGGGUUAUGGUUGGGGCCUUUGCUUGGCUGCUACCAUAAGGUGAAACAUGGAUAGGGCCUUUUUUUGGCCGCUACUAUAGGCCCUAAAGUUGAUGGUGCUUUCUCUUGGCCUCUACUAUAGGUCUUGCUAUGGAUAUGAGAACUGCUAAAACUUGGUGAGAAAAAUGAAAGAUGAAUUGAUUGAUAUCCAAUACACCUGGAGGCUAAAUUAUCAUCACAUGUUAUGAUUAAAAAAAAAAAAAAAAGGAAGUUAGAUGUAGUAAUAGAGAAAUUUUUAGAUGUUCCCAAGGAACAAAACAGUUCAGAAUUGGGUAUCAGCACUCCACACACAUCAAUGAUCAUGUACACUGUAAUAAGAUGGUCAUAUUGUUGCCCACAUCGGAAGAACAACAACUAUUUCUAAGAUUCCUUGUUUUAGUCUAAUCAAAAGCUUCUCCCACGAUGAUCAACCAGUCCUCAUUCCUUGUUGCUUCUUCAAAAGGCUUUUGCAUCUAAACCUUGCCAAAAGGCCUUGUAACAACAUUUACAAAGUAUUUUUACUUAAGCCUGCAUGUAUCAGGAUAAUAAACUAUGUACACCAUGGUUUGUAAUCAACAGAAGCCAUAAUGCAAUAAGUUAAAGAACUGACAUAGAACAAAAUUUACAAGAAUUGAUAGAAGUUCCAAAAUUUUAUAGAUAACCAGGGAAACUUUUUCAUAAAUAAGAUUAUGGGAGAAUACAAAUUAAGCAAUUAAAGGGCAUACCUAGGCUGCAAAAGAGAAGCCACUGGGCAGCCGUGUACAAGUAAGAUCACUAAGAUAUCCAUGUAACUCACAUCCAAUGUCCAUCAAAACAGGGUCCCCAUCUUUGACCUAUAUAUAUAAAUUAUUUAAUUGUUUAUAAAAAUGGAUCCUCUGUAAUAAAUGUAAUUACAGAUGAAAAAAGUGUAUCAACAUACAAUACAAAUGAACUUACCUUCUGAUCAUUUCAAGAAAUAGGCAUUCUUGAUCGUUUUGCCGCAAACUUCUGCAUUCCUGAUCAUUCUGUCACAAAGUUCUACAUUCCUGAUCCAAAGUCAACUACGUCAACAAACUAUUUAUUGGUCAUCCUGACAAUGCAGUACUCUUACUAUAAUUAAACAAACACUUCCUAGAACAAUGAAUAUAAAUCUAUUAUAAAUCUGUUAUAUACUCAUUGAAAUUCCCUGAUUUUUUCACAUAAGUUUCUUAUACACAAUAUUGAUAUCCAUGCUAGCUCAUAACCUUUCAAUAUUUAUCAUUGAAAUUCAACAGUACCUAUUUCCGGGAUGCAGUGAUUUAAGCAUUAACUGAAAAUACGUCAAUGAUACAAGUAGGAACACUCCUUUAUGACAUGCAACUGCAAGUACCCUAAGGUCAUAUUAGCCUAAGCAAGAAGUGUCAUCAAGUAUUAGACAGCUGAAAACUAAUCCAAGAAAAAAAAAUUAUAUAUAUCUUAGUCUAAUAGAUUAUAAAUUUAGAAAAAUUAUUACAUACUAUAGGGAAAGAAAAAAAUACAGCAGGGAAAAAAAAAAGGACAAAAAAAAAAAGGAGCAGAUUACAAACAAGAGCGUUAUGGAGGUGCAGGCGGAGAAAAGACCCCCUCCAGCAGGUACUACCCUCUAUUUAAAUUUUGAUGGUUAAGGACGAUUAUAACCUAGGAUAGCUAAUGGUUGGUGACAAAAUGCUGGGGGAAAACCAAAUUUUAGGGUUGACUAUAGGAAUCUUAUUUGCUAUUCUGUUUUAUGUAUCAAGGUUCAUAGUAAAUCAUAUUAAGAUGCAAAUUUGGAGAAAAACAAACACAAACUUAUACAAAAGGCACCAUAUGAAAUCAGAAAUUUACUUAAUUGCAUCAAGCAAAGAAAUGCAAUUGUGAAGAAGCAGUCUGUCCACUUCUCUCUUGGACUCAACUUCAUCUUUCACUGCUACUCUCAAAAUCCCAAUCACCAGUCCAACACAAGAAAUGAAUCAGCGACUGGCUUACAGUAGAACUCAAGUAAUUACAAUAUCAAUCUUCCAGUAUCAUCUGCACACAAUAGCCAAAAUAUUCAAUCAUAAAAUUUUGAUUCAACAAAACAUCUCUAUCAAAAUCCCAUCAACAUAGCCUAUACGUAUUAAUCUUGUUAAUAAGAAUCUUUUAAUGAAUAUUAGUUGAGUAUUAUAUUUUAAUACUUUUAAUGAAUUAAAGUUUACAAACAUUUACUUUUCAUUUGGAAGAACCCACCAAUGAAAUUUUUUUUACUAUAAAACAUUUUUCUUCCAUAGUCCAUCCAUAAAACAUUUUUCUUUUAUAGUCCAUCCAAACAAGAAAUAACUGGAAAUAUGAAACCAGCACUAACAUCGGCAGACAAUAAAAUUUUUGAAAACUUAAAUAUAAAAAGUAGUUUUUUCGGCUUAUCCUUUGAGUGUUUUAUAUAUUAUACAUAAUGUAAAAAUUUUCAAAAUAUCAUCCAUAUUUUCAAUUAUAGCUUAAAAUAAUAUUAAAAAAUAAUUAAAUUUACUUUUAAUUUGUCCUAAGAAAUAAUAUAUUUUAUAAUAAAUUUUUAAGAAACUGUUUUUCAUUGCAUGUGUUUUCUAAGUUAGAAAAAUGUUUUCAUGAAUUGUUUUAAAACAUGGCCUAAACUUUCCAUAUUUCUUUGCUUCCUAUGAAUUAAGCAUGUAUCUGCAAAUUCUGAAGAGAUGGUUAAUCACUUUUACUAGGCAAAUUGUCUUUUAGAUCCUAAAAAAUUUGGAAAAAAAUGCAACAAAAAAUAGAAGGAAAAGUAAAUUAUUUUUAUAUACUACUUCAUAUUCAUUUCAAUAAUUUUAAUCCUAUAUAUAAAGACUAAAUAAUUAAAAAAUAUUUAAUUUUUUAAUGAAUUUUAAUUAUAUUUUAUUUUGUAUAUUCUUGAUAAUUAAAAUCAAACAUAGAAAGUUAUUUUUUUUAAAAUUUUUAUUUUCUUCUCUUAACAUAACCUUAAAAGUAAGACAAGUAUUACAUGGGCUUGGACAAGAAUUUAUGGCUACGUUUAGUUCCUAGAAAACCCCAAAGAAAUGAAAAACAUACUAAUGAAAAUGAUUUUUUCAUGUUUAGUUUAACUAGGAAAAAUAUGAAAGAAAAAUUAUUUUCUCAUGCUUAGUUUAACUAGGAAAAAUAUGUAAGAAAAUACUGAAGUUGUGACAAUGCUAAACAAAGCUAAUUUGAAUAAAAAUAGUGGACACAAUUUUAUUAACAAACAAAAUUAUAUUUAUUAGAACCAUCCAACCCAACCUGUUCCAUUGUAAAGGUGGACACAAUCCACAUCAUGUUAAAUUAUAUUCCUAUGUUGCACUCUCAAGAGGAAAAAAAAAAGAAUCAAAUUUCUCUCAUCAAAUAUCGGCGUCUCUAGGAUCCCAGGGUUCACUGUCUCAACCUCAAAAUGACUAGAAGAAUCACCCCCAUCUAAACAACCGUUACAGCUCCUAUGCUGAGCUUCCUGCUAACCUUCAGACAAAGCUCUAAUUCAGCUUUGUUAGCAGAACUACUUCCAACAAGCAUAAAGAGUGAAAUAACAUUGAAUUGUACAACACUCUGAUCUGGCAUCCUGCUAUAUCAUAUUAAAUAAUUUUCAUGGAACCUCCUUGAACUUCUAGACAUAGAAGCCAGCAGGAAGCAAAAUAGAUCACUCUCUUGCAUAGACCCUUCCUCUUAAAUACUCUCUCUCACUCUCUCCCUCCCCUCUCCUCUCACUUUCUAAACCAACCUGAAUGAGGUCACACCAACCAUGUCCCUUUAGAAUUUACUUUCAUCGUCUCUCUCCAAGGCAGUGAAUGUGGUCAUCAUCAUCCUCCUUCCUCUUACAGUGUACACAGAGCUUGGAACAGAGCUUUGAAAAGCCUUCUUGUGGGUUCCAUUAGUAUUCCCCUUUCUACGCACAACUAACCAAGAGAAACUUUAGUAAGGGGCUUUAGCCUUCCAAACAGAGCUUGGAAGAAAAACUUGGGAGAGAGCAAACAACUACCACUCAACAUACCAAAUCUUCUAAACCUCUGAAGUCAAGGAGAGAUAAAAAUUCCUUGAGGAUCUGAAGAAGGGAAGCAAGUUCAUCAGCCCCCAAUUAUUGAGUUGGAAAUAAAUAUCCCAGGAAAAGAAAAGGACAUAAUUGAGAAAGAAAAUGGAAACUCGUUUGAGGGUAGAAAUUCAGGACUUCUCCACACAGACUCUGGAUCAUCUCGGACAAUGAAUCUGGUGUGGAAAUGAAACUCUUGAAAUCCUAACAGAUGGCUUCCAACAUCCCUCAUUCCCUCCUUUUUCAUUGUUAUAAGGGAUAGAACUAGAACUCCCCUGUCACAUACCGAUCCCUUGCCAGUUAAGACAGGUCUGAAGGGCUUUUUCAAGGUCUAGAGUUAGUUUACCUCAUUGCAGGAAUAACACCUCCCAGUAUUAGAAUCAAGUAAGAGAAUGCAGUAGAUUUUCACCAUAAAAUAAAAUAAAAAAACAUGUCAAAUAAAUUCCAGAUGAAAAAAAAAAAAAUUUCAAUAAUUUUUUUUCAUCUAACCAAAACAUAGAAUGGUUAAGGAAAUACCUAUUGAAGGUGAACGUAAUCUGAGCAGCAAUCAAGGCCCCAGAAAUAACUCCUGCAACAGAUUGUUAUAGAAAAUCAAAUUUCAUUUUUCACUAGAUAUUAAAAAUUUCGGGAAAGAGGUUUGGGGGAAAAGACUUAGUUCGUAAGGUUAUUCAUUACUGAUCUCCGACAUGCAAUUCUGAUCUGAGUGUGGCAAAGAGUUCGGUGAGCGAGCUGGUCGUUGAUCACCAGCAAUCUAGUUGGAGACUCAAUUCCUAGGGUUUUAUGGCUUUGGGAGCAGAGUUCAACGACCAUUACCAGCAACGAUUAUCAACAUUGAGGGCUUAGAAGAGUGAAUCAAAGAAAAAUGUUGUUCAAAGAUUCUCACUAGUGGGUUCUCGGUGGUCCAAAGUGAGGAUCGAAAUGGCUCUCAGUAGGUUCUUACCAGUCGAAAGAGGCAGUGGUUGAUAUGGUGGGUAUAUGGGUGCGGGCUCUAUUGGGCCAUAUAUGGUAGCGGUCCAUUCCUUCUCCCAGCUAUAAUACCUACUAUAGCAGCAGUCCAUUUCUUCUCUCAGCUAUAAGAGAUUUUGUGGCAGCACUUAUUCCCUCCCCCAACUAUAAUGUUGCUUUGAUAGUGGAUUUUGUUGGCCCCAACUAAAACCGCGGUGUCUCCAUUUUCUUGUAGUGUUAUGACUGAUGGUCUCCAAAAAGCCCGCGGCCGCGGCCCGCUUUAGGCCCGGCCCGGCCCAAGCCCUUCCCGAGCCCGUUUUAUGGGCGGGCCGGGCCGCGGGCCUAAAUUUAGGCCCGCUCUUAGGCCCGCCCCUUUAAAAAAAAAACUACAAAAAUAAAAAGUAUUAAAAAAAAUAUUCAUUUCAAAAUUUUAUUCAUUGAAUGUAUAAUUACAUUUAAAAAUGUGGGAAAAAUUUACAUCACUACAAAAUAAAUACAUCCCAACUAGGUUGACACCUUUUUAUUUGUUAAUCAUCUGUAUUUUUCAACCACAAAAAAUAAAAAUAAAAAUAUAAUAUACAUUUAGUCAUUAUUUUCUGGCGGUAAUGGCGAACUAUCAUGCAUCCAUGAAGAUCUUGAUAAUUUUAAAGAUUCCAUAUCGGCAAGCAUCUCUGUUUCUCGAAUGGAAUCGUACAUCCUUUUAUCUGCUAUUUCCCAAUCUUUCACACAUAUCCCUGCUUCAAUAACAUCUGGCGCUAAGUUGCAUCGUUUUUUACUAACUACUCUUCCACCUGCACUAAAAGCAGCUUCUGAUGCAACUGUACUCACAAGAACUGUUAGUACAUCACGAGUAAUUAUAGAAAGCACAGGAUAUUUGUGUUGAUGUGAUUUCCACCAUAUUAAAAUAUCAAAAUCUUCUUGAUCUUCAAAUGAAAUUAUAUCAGUAUUAAGAUAUUUAUCUAAAUCAGAUGUAUUAUUUGGAGAACUAUUUAUUGUCUUUUUUCGACUUUUCAACAUUUCUAGAGCUCCUUUAUAAAAAGAUGAGGAGUUUGUAGAUGUAGGUGGUAAUUUAAUACUAUUAAUAUUAUUACCAUAUUUUUCUUUAUAAUAGUUAUAUAAAUUAUGUAAUAAUGAAUUUAUUUCAUUUUUAAUUUCUUCAAUUUUUAUUUGGUCAUUAAAAUAAAUAAUUGUUAACCAUUCAUCCAAAGCUUCAAAUUUCAAUCUAGGGUCCACAAUUAAAGCAAUAUAAAAAAUUAAAGGUAUUUCCCCCCAAUAUUUUCUAAAUUUUUCUAUCAUUGCAAAUAUUGUAUCAUUAAAUAUUUCAAAACUUAAAUAUUUUUGAAGUACAAUAAAAAUAUUAGUUAUUUGCAUAAUAACUCGAUUUGAAGUUGGAUAAUAUACACCACAAAAAAUGUUUGUUGAAGUAUCAAAAAUUUCAAAAAGAUCUGCAAUAUGCCAAUCAUAAUCACUUAAUGCAUAAAUAUCUGCUUCACAAUCAUUGUUAAGUAAUUGUAUUUCAUAUAAUUCGACUACUUUUCUAUAUUUUGUAAUAUUUUGUAAAAGUUUAUAUGUGGAAUUCCAUCUAAUGGUCAUAUCCAAAUUUAUAUUUUUUCUUUUCAUAUUUAACAUUUUGCAACAAUCAAAAAUANUCAUGUUUUGCUUGAGAACUAUUAAUACUAUAUGCAUGCCUCUAUUUUUUCCAUGUAUUAUCAACAUUUUUUAAUCCAUCCUUAACAAUUAAAUUUAAAANNNNNNNNNNNNNNNNNNNNNNNNNNNNNNNNNNNNNNNNNNNNNNNNNNNNNNNNNNNNNNNNNNNNNNNNNNNNNNNNNNNNNNNNNNNNNNNNNNNNUAAAAAUAUUAGUUAUUUGCAUAAUAACUCGAUUUGAAGUUGGAUAAUAUACACCACAAAAAAUGUUUGUUGAAGUAUCAAAAAUUUCAAAAAGAUCUCUUAAAAGAUCUGCAAUAUGCCAAUCAUAAUCACUUAAUGCAUAAAUAUCUGCUUCACAAUCAUUGUUAAGUAAUUGUAUUUCAUAUAAUUUGACUACUUUUCUAUAUUUUGUAAUAUUUUGUAAAAGUUUAUAUGUGGAAUUCCAUCUAAUGGCCAUAUCCAAAUUUAUAUUUUUUCUUUUCAUAUUUAACAUUUUGCAACAAUCAAAAAAUAAUUCAUGUUUUGCUUGAGAACUAUUAAUACUAUAUGCAAUGCCUCUAAUUUUUUCCAAUGUAUCAUCAACAUUUUUUAAUCCAUCCUUUACAAUUAAAUUUAAAAUAUGUGCACAACAACGCACAUGAAAUAUUUUAGCAUGAUCUUCUUUUACUUGCCAAUAUCGUUUUAGUCUAUGUAUUGCUGUAUCAUUAUUAGCAGCAUUAUCUAAUGUUAUUGUCAAUAUUUUAUCACGAAUGCCUAAAUCUAUAAUUUCAUCAUUUAUUAAAGAUGCUAUAUUUUUACCACUAUGUGGAGCAUUUAUUAAUUUAAAUUAAAUUAUUCUUUUAUUUAAUUUCCAUUCAUUAUCAAUGUAGUGAGCAGUUAUACAUAAAAAACCAGUGUGAGUUAAAGAUGUCCAAAUAUCAGAUGUUAAACAAAUAUUUCCUUCAAAAAUUGCAAAAAAAAUUUUUAAAAUUUCUUUUUGUGUAUAAAAUUUUUUCAUAAUAUCUCUUUUAACUGUAUUUCCAGACCAACCUUUAAAUUGAGGAUUAAUACCUCGUUGAAUUGUUCCUACAAAAUCAUGAGUUUCCAUCAUGUUGAAAGGUUGUUCUGCUCUUAUUAUAUAAUCAAUCAUUUCUUCACGACAGUUAGAUUCAUCAUAAGAAAAUGUUUUUAAAUUUCCACUUUCAUUUUUACCUAAUUGCAUAUAAUUUCUAAUAUCUACAUUAUUUUUAGUUUUGCAAUUUUCGUGAUGUCUUUUUAAAUGACUUGUGCCUGCAUUUGAGCCACCAGUAAGAAAUUUAUUACAAAUUUUACAUUUUGCUUUGAUUUCUUUUUUAUUAUUUUCUAAAAUUAUUUCUAUUCUAUCAAAAAAAUUCCAUAUAUUUGAAGUAAAUUUUUUGUUUGAUGAUAUUUCAUCACAUGGACUAGAUGAAGAAGCACUUGUCAUAUUAUAAUUAUUGAUAAAAUAUUAUGCCAAAAAUAAUAAAGUAAUAAAUAUAAAAAAAAAUAUAACAAAAAAAUAAGGUAGUAGGGGUGAAGUAUGUUACUCAAUUAGAGAACCGAUGCAGAAAUUCCUAGCAAAUUUGAACUCUUGGAGCCACCAAUGCUUGUUUUGUACCACCAACAAUAUUGUAUAAUUUGAGGGAAAAAUAAAAGAAUUUGAAAUAUUGUAGAAUGUGAGAGAAAUAGAGAGAAUUUGAUGAAAAAAUGAAAAGGAAGAACAUGUAUUUAUAGGAAGGUUUUUUUUAAAAAAAAAAAAAAAAAAAAAAAAAUUGGCCAUGUGACCGUUGGAGGCUUAGCCCCAACGGUCACAUGACUCACAUGGGCAGCUGGCUGGAGCUCCAACGGUCACAUGACCGUUGGAGCCUUUAUUUUUUUUUAAAAAAAAUAAUAUACUUUAUUUUUAUAUAUAUAUAAUUAACUCAAUUAUUAAGCACAAAAGGAAUGUAGCUCAAUUGGUUAGAGCCUUGAUAUGAAAACAUGAGGGGAGGGGUUCGAAUCCCCCCCUCUCCCUUCCUUUCUUUAAAAGCCAUUUUGGCUUAUUUAAAAAAGCCCACGGCCCGGCCCGGCCAGCCCGCUCCCUAGCCCGCCAGCCCGCUAGCCCGCGGGCUCAUAGGCCGGGCCGCGGGCCUAACAUUUUUCCGUGGCCCGGCCUGGCCCAGCACGAGCUGGGCCGCGGGCCUCCUAUUUACGGCCCGGCCCGGCCUGGCCCGCCCGUUGGAGACCCUUAGUUAUGACAUUCAUGUCAUUAGAAAGUUCCGAUUGGAGUGAGAUUCUUGUGAAGACUGCUACCACCUUUUUUUUUUGGGAAGGAGAAGAUUCUUUUAGGGAGUCCAUAACUGCAUGUCCAGAAAAAAGAAAAAAAAAAGAGAAAAAGGGAAGAUGAUAGUGGGAUAUUAUUUUUUGGGAAAGGAUAUUCAUGCAUGAGGGAGUUUUAAGGAGAAAAGACUUUCUUUAGGAGUCCACAGGCUGCCACUUAUCAUAGGAGGAUUAGGAAGACAUCUUUGAAAGUUUAAAAAAGGCUAGGAUUCUUAAGAAAAAGAGGACUUUUAGUCUAUGAUAAGAGAGGUCCUUAUUGUCAAAUGAUCAUGUGUUUCUCUCCUACCAAAUUAUCCAAAAAAGGCAUAAAGGAGUAGCUCCCUAAAGUUUUUUCCACUUUUUUCUCGUAAAAGAGUCAUUCCAACCUAACAAAGUGUUUUUGAUGGAGGAGUGAAUCACCUUUGAGAUACAAAAAGAGAGAACAAAAGCUACCACAACUACCUCGCCUUGCUACAAUGCAGAAGAAUGUGAUAAAUUGAAUCUUCAUGAGUGUGAUGAAGAAAACAUCUAUUGGCCAAAGACCCACAUCUUUGUUGUAAUUAAUCAAGAGUCAAAGCUUUUCCCUAGGUCGCCUCGCAAGCAAAGAAGCUCAACUUAGGUGGAAUCCAAGCAUUCCACAUAAUAACAUAUGGGAACGAUUCAAAUCUCCCUUCUGCUAGGCUAGAGUAAAGUGACCCUAAUAGAGAAAGAUCCACUCUUUGCCUCUAACCAACACACCUUGUCUUCUGCUGCCUUAACUACCCCCUUAACAAGUAGUUUUGAAAAGAAGUGCUUUGCAUCCUCAAUCUCCCAGUUGUUUGGAUGCCUAGAGAAUCUAUGAGUCCACACACCUCCAC